This 497-nucleotide ribosomal RNA is filed under the name uncultured bacterium. RNAcentral's name for it is "partial 16S ribosomal RNA". It matches the Rfam family "Bacterial small subunit ribosomal RNA", at positions 899 to 1397 of the family's 1533-position model. The record is from RNAcentral.
ACUCAAAUGAAUUGACGGGGGCCCGCACAAGAGGUGGAGUAUGUGGUUUAAUUCGAAGCAACGCGCAGAACCUUACCUGGGCUUAACAUCCCUUGACGACUACAGAGAUGUAGUUUUGCCUUCGGGCACAAGGUGAUAGGUGCUGCAUGGCUGUCGUCAGCUCGUGUCGUAAGAUGUUAGGUUAAGUCCUGCAACGAGCGCAACCCCUAUCCUUAGUUACCACCAUUCAGUUGGGGACUCUAGGGAGACUGCCGGUGUUAAACCGGAGGAAGGCGGGGAUGACGUCAAGUCCUCAUGGCCCUUAUGUCCAGGGCUACACACGUACUACAAUGGCAGAAACAAACCGACGCAAUACCGCGAGGUGGAGCAAAUCGGAAAAACACUGUCUCAGUCCGGAUUGAAGUCUGCAACUCGACUUCAUGAAGUUGGAAUCUCUAGUAAUCGCAGAUCAGCACGCUGCGGUGAAUACGUUCCCGGGCCUUGUACACACCGCCCGU